GUGAUGCACAAAUUAACCCUCAGAUUUUCCUUUACUCAUUGAAUUGGAUGAAUGCAUGCGACAACCUAAAUCAUUCUCUAAAAGUCCCCUAUAUGAAUGCAUAAUAGAGAUACAAUUAAAGAUCAUUAAGUUCCAUGAAAAUCAUAAGCGUUGACAAGGCAAUUGUAACUAUGAAUGCAUGAUACUUUUGCCAAGAAUUCAAUUAACGCGAUUGUGACAAGCAACCUUCACUACUCAUGAAUAUAAACUUG
This 251-nucleotide long non-coding RNA is filed under the name Malus domestica (apple). Its description in RNAcentral is "long non-coding RNA (MDOM_LNC012248)". The record is from RNAcentral. Lineage: Eukaryota; Viridiplantae; Streptophyta; Magnoliopsida; Rosales; Rosaceae.